AAUGGAUCCGUCCCGUCCAGAUCCGGCCGGAUCCGACCGGGCCCCGCCAUCCUCGUCACUGGAGCACCGCCCCGCUCGACCAACAGCGUCGGCGCUGUCUGUCCCUGCCCGCGUCUGCACGAGGACGACGCUCGUCCCGCUCGCUUGCAGCAAUCGCAUGGGCCGCCGCCCCAGCCGUCCCGGCAUCAAGCCAAGGCCCAGCCCAAGCCACUUCUUCUGCCGCUCCAUCAUUGCCCACCUUGAGAUCAGCCCCGACGCCACCACCAUCUUCAGAUGCGUACGCACACUACUUCCUUCUUCAAAUUGCUUCACCACAUCAUGCUGAAUUUGCAAAUGGCCGCUCCUUACAUGUGUGAUCGAGAAGCAAGGUCAAGUAUGAGCAGGCUGUCAGCGUGUAGUGGUCGGAGAUGCCGUCGCAACUUACAUGUCGCAGUCGUCGGCUCCAUGCUAAGAUUACGAGGCUCUAUGGUUGUAUCGUGGUGUUCCAGUAGUAAACUUUCAGGCUGGUUAGAUAGGGGAUGAAGAUGAUGUAUACUACCUAACGGCCAUCGAGUAAUAAAAGGAGAUGGAUUGAACUACAUGAUUUAUGCCAUGGGAAUGAUGAAAAAUCUUUGAGUGAGGAUGUUGAAUAAUUCAGUCCUGAUCAAUGGCUUCUCAUAAAAGUCUUCCUGCCAGCAAGAGAGCCCUUGCAGAUUUACAGCUUUUAGUGUAAUUAUUACAGAGAAGACAUGCUUAGAGGGCCUAUAAUUUUACUAAGUGAACAUGUACUGAUCUCUACAUGCUUUUUAUUAGAGGUAAAGACGAUGCAUUGCCUAUCCAAGUCUCCAUACAAAUUUGUAGAUGCACAUGGCGUUUUAUCUAUCUGGCUAGCGUUUAUAUUCAAAACUCUUUUGUCCUUAUAUCUUUUCAGUAUCGCUUUCAUGUUUUACUAAGAUCUGUGCGGAAACAACAUGAGCCUUUGCUGCUUGGUCUGGGAUGGUGAAGUGGUGGUUGCAGUGGAAAUCGUUAAAGGGGGCACCGGUGUCCUCAGUUAUACGGUUACAGAAUAUAUGGAGUCAUGCCCAACGUUGCAAGGGAGCCUGUAGUGGGAGGCGACAAAGUAUUGGCUGUUACCAUAGUAUCCAUAAUGAGUUGUGUCAACACCAACCUCAGAGCUGGAAUAAGGAGUGCGCAUUCGCAUUGAUGAAACAACUUUCCCAUAGCCCGCUGCUACUGCCCACUACCACAAUCUUGCAUAGAUACUUCAGUCUGUUGGAUAAUUAUUGGAGAUGAUGCACUCUGAUGGACAGAUAUAGAAACCCAUUGUUAUUUUCAGGGAAAUUUGUGGUGAUUCGUAAUCAAACUUGCAAAGAACAUCCUUCUGAUUAUGUUUGAAGAGGUACGAUGGAUGGUUGAGCUGAGACCACUGUUUGAUAUUUGUUUGCCUUUGCUUUGUAACCAGUGAGGGCUGAAGUGAAUGAAUCUGGAAGUGCUUUAGUGAUUAAUGCUCUGUCCCAAGUUAAGCAUAUUCUACUUCCGGUCACUGGCCGCAAGCCUUACCUUUCAGUUCUAAUUCCUUGAGAUCACCACAGUUGUGAAUAUAGCCAUUGUUUCAACAGAACAAACCUAAGCUUAGCAUGAAAGAGAGUAUGAAAGUUCUGAUCUCUUCAAAAUAUGUGAGGGGCCUUGCUACCUUAGUUGUUGCAUAUGGCAUUAUAAUCAAUUUUGUGUAAGUCACAUGGAAAUCGAAGCUCAAGGCACAGUUCCCCAGUCCAAACGAGCACUCAUCUUUCAUGGGUGAUUUCUCUACCGCAACUGGACUUGCAACUUUCAUGAUGAUGCUGUUAGGCUGGAUUACAUUCCAAAGAUUUGGUUGGGGGGUGGCUUCCAUUAUCACCCCCAUAGUUUUGUGGUGACUGGCGUUGGUUUCUUUUCUGACUUUCAACAAGUGCAGUUCAUUGCCGCAGAGCAGUCUUAGAAGAUCCGUGCACAUGUAGCCUUAUUUCUUAUUCCAAAUUUCAUCAUACAAAAAAAAAAUACUCAGUGUAACCUCAUUUCUGAUGUUUGCGAAAAUUAGAUUAUAA
Molecule: long non-coding RNA, 2063 nt
Organism: Triticum dicoccoides
Lineage: Eukaryota; Viridiplantae; Streptophyta; Magnoliopsida; Poales; Poaceae
Exons: 6
Source: RefSeq, a predicted model, not a curated record